UACGGGGGGGGCAAGCGUUGUUCGGAAUUACUGGGCGUAAAGGGCGCGUAGGCGGUUGGAUAAGUCAGCUGUGAAAACCACGGGCUUAACUCGUGGCCUGCAGUUGAGACUGUCUGGCUUGAGUGUGGGAGAGGAGAGUGGAAUUCCCGGUGUAGCAGUGAAAUGCGUAGAUAUCGGGAGGAAUACCGAUGGCGAAGGCAGGUCUCUGGGCUGACACUGACGCUCAUGCACGAAAGCGUGGGGAGCAAACAGG
RNAcentral lists this ribosomal RNA (253 nucleotides) under uncultured bacterium. RNAcentral's name for it is "partial 16S ribosomal RNA". It matches the Rfam family "Bacterial small subunit ribosomal RNA", at positions 524 to 776 of the family's 1533-position model. The record is from RNAcentral.